UGAUGACCAGGUGUCCACACUAAGUUCGGCAUCAGUAUGGUGACCUCCUGGAAGUGGGGGCCACCAGGUUGCCUAAGGAAGGGUGAACUGGCCCAGAUCAGAAAGGGAGCAGUUCAGAACUCCCACACUGAUUGGUAGUGGGACUGUGCCUGGACA
Unclassified non-coding RNA from Callithrix jacchus (white-tufted-ear marmoset), 156 nucleotides. It matches the Rfam family "Metazoan signal recognition particle RNA". From Rfam's summary of the family: The signal recognition particle (SRP) is a universally conserved ribonucleoprotein. Lineage: Eukaryota; Metazoa; Chordata; Mammalia; Primates; Cebidae. The record is from Ensembl.